UUUUUUCCUUUUUCUUCUUUUUUUCCUUUCUUUUUUCUUCUCUUCUUCUCCUCCCUCCUUAUUAUUUAUUUAUUUAUUAUUUUAUUUUAUUGAAAUAUAUUUAGUUAUUAUCUUAAUUAUUUAUUUAUUUCUUUAUUCGUUCAUCCAUAGAUAUAUUUUUAUAUGCAUUUAUUUAUUUAUUUAUUUUUCUCUCUUUUUUUCUUCUUUCCUUUUUCUUCUUUUUUUUCUUUUCUUUUU
Molecule: long non-coding RNA, 237 nt
Filed under: Phoenix dactylifera (date palm)
Lineage: Eukaryota; Viridiplantae; Streptophyta; Magnoliopsida; Arecales; Arecaceae
Description: long non-coding RNA (PDAC_LNC021259)
Source: RNAcentral